CGAGGUCUCGUCCAAAAUGGCUGUGGAGAAACAGUUAUGAAGAUGUGUCGAUCUACUCACCAAAUUAAUCUCUUGCAUGCUUCAAUUAAGCGGAGAGUCCUCUAACCGAGCUGGAGGACAUUUCUAGAAGGUGAGUGGAGGGCUGAGGAAGGAGAAGAGGAUUGUGGGCCAUCUUGGGAAAGGGACCCUGAAGAUUCUUUGGGAUCUUCAGCGACACCGUGUCAGACAUGAAAACCCAAGACUAUCGUCCCAGCCCUGUGAAAUCACAGACACAGAGUUUCACCCAACAACCCAGUGUGUAAUUUCAUGAAAGUCAAGUUUUGAAUACAAGGAAUAUUCCAGUUGUAGUCUGCAAUAAAGAUGACACUAUGAACAGUCUAUCAGGUAAAUUCCCAACCUAUUAACCCAACAUCUGGCCCCUUUAACACACGGUUGAGGUGUGUAAAUGCACACAUGCACACAAAUUUUAUUCCAACAAACACAUUCUUUAACUUGCAACAAAAACAGACCUACACACACAGAUUUGGUGGCCGGAGUGUAACCCUUCUUCUAACAUAAACACCAGAUCUCACCUUUGAACUCUUCACCUUUCAUCCUGCUAAGCGGUCCGUGGUGUUUUUCUUUCUUUUUAUGAACAUAACCGUGGCUAAAAAUAAGUUCUCAUUUCUUUCACCUAAAAUAGCUUACCGUCUUUCCCUUUAACUGUUCUCACCUUCUCCCAGCCAUUAUGAUGUUUCUGUAUUUAACCUAAUUAAUUCUGCAGUGGCCUAAAUGGGAUUAGGAAUUACCCUGCUUUGGGCAUACAGACCUCCAAAGACUUGAAUGUUCUUGGACUUCAUUUAAAUCUUUUCCAAUUUCAUCCGACAGCUAACACAUCUUUUUUUGUGAUAAACAAUUGAUUUUGGAUACUAUUAUUUUUAAGGAAUCUUUCCUUUGUUUUCAACUUAAAGCUCCCGUUCUUUCUGUGUUUUUGAAGAUUUGAUUGUGUUUAUAGUGGGCAAUAUAACGUGUUCAUGUUUCACGUGUAAAAAAAACACAGUAUUUUUCACACAAUUUACUUAUCUGUAUAGCGCUGUUGUCCUAAAAAUGGGCUGAUGUCUUCCUUGUUCUAUGAAGUCCCUCCUUCAGAAAUACAUAAUGAGUUCUGAUUGUGUAGUUUGUUUAGUGUGUUGUGAUUCGACAGCAGCUUAGCUUAGCAGAGCCGUUUGAGCCAAAGCUGGUGACUGAUGUAUUAAUGUGGGCGGAGUUUAGUCAAAAAAACAUUUUACUGACGUCAUUAAAGCAGGAAGUAGAGGGCUGUAGUCAAAACCAUAGACAGUAAAAGAAAUGGACACAGCGACCCCGUUGGAUUCAACGGAGACAAGUGAAGCCAAUUAGAAGCUCACACUUCCGGGGGGUCGAGCGUACUGCGCAGACUCAAACUGAGCUUGGUGACGUGAGCAACCUGACUGACAAGUGUAAGUCUUCUAGUAGCUGUGCCAAGAGAAAUCUGAAUCACCCACCGAAUCUUGCAGAAACGGCGAGCGUGAACAGGAGUCCAUUUUGUAUUAAGUAUAUUUAGUAUUCUGAUUAAUUACUUUGUCAUUUUGCAUAGUAUUUAUUUAUUUUAAUGUUUAACGCCAGUACGCUAUGUUCUACAUGCGCUUCUCCUCCUGUCCAUACGGUAAUUUCUCUACUGUGCGACAGAGAGUCGCGUGGUUAUGACGCAAUCGUUAGCAUAGUUUUACUAAAACUGCUUCUACUGUGCCUUAACGUAAGAUACAAGGUAAUGGAGCCUUUUAUACAUUUUCGUGUUUCUUUAGAAAUAAUUGAUGCACAAAUUGAGUCUUUAAACGCCUCAGAUGUAAAGUUAUUCACUGUCAAAGUGACGCCAAAAUGAAUGGGAGUCAAUGGAAUGCUAAGAGCAGGUGGGGGUCCGCUAGCUAAUGGCGGUGCCCAGGGCUGCUUCAAUAAAAUAUGAAACCCUG
This is a long non-coding RNA of Paramisgurnus dabryanus, 1967 nucleotides long. RefSeq lists it as uncharacterized. Lineage: Eukaryota; Metazoa; Chordata; Actinopteri; Cypriniformes; Cobitidae. The record is from RefSeq and is a predicted model, not a curated record.